GGAUUGUGGCUCAGUGGUAGAGUGCUCACCUAGCACAUGUGAGGCCCUGGGUUCGAUCCUUAGCACCA
This 68-nucleotide transfer RNA is filed under the name Marmota monax (woodchuck). Its description in RNAcentral is "tRNA.Ala". Lineage: Eukaryota; Metazoa; Chordata; Mammalia; Rodentia; Sciuridae. The record is from RNAcentral.